CAGUAGCAGGCCUUACCAAGUUCCAGUCAGUCACAGAACAUGAAGAUGGUUUCAUUGGAGAUUGGAAAUGAGUAGCAUUUCUAUGAAGAAGAUGUUUACAGCAAAGACCCCGAAAAUGGAGCCAUUGACGAGGAUCAGGACAAGAAAAUUAAAGGAAAGUAUAUUUAAUUUUAGUCUAAUUAUAAUUUUAGUUCUAUUACAGUAGCAGGCCUUACCAAGUUCCAGUCAGUCACAGAACAUGAAGAUGGUUUCAUUGGAGAUUGGAAAUGAGUAGCAUUUCUAUGAAGAAGAUGUUUACAGCAAAGACCCCGAAAAUGGAGCCAUUGACGAGGAUCAGGACAAGAAAAUUAAAGGAAAGUAUAUUUAAUUUUAGUCUAAUUAUAAUUUUAGUUCUAUUACAGUAGCAGGCCUUACCAAGUUCCAGUCAGUCACAGAACAUGAAGAUUGUUUCAUUGGAGAUUGGAAAUGAGUAGCAUAUACUAUGAAGAAGAUGUUUACAGCAAAGACCCCGAAAAUGGAGCCAUUGACGAAGACCAGGACAAGAAAAUUAAAGGAAAGUAUAUUUAAUUUUAGUCUAAUUAUAAUUUUAGUUCUAUUACAGUAGCAGGCCUUACCAAGUUCCAGUCAGUCACAGAACAUGAAGAUUGUUUCAUUGAAGAUUGGAAAUGAGUAGUAUAUACUAUGAAGAAGAUGUUUACAGCAAAGACCCCGAAAAUGGAGCCAUUGGCGAAGACCAGGACAAGAUGCUUAAAGUAGCAGGCCUUACCAAGUUUCAGUCGCAGAAGAUGAAGAUUAUUUCAUUGAAAAUUGGAGAUAAAUAACAUCUCCAAGGAAGAUUAAUUAUUACAUUAAUCUUCACCCAAGUCUGAGGCCAUGACAUGAAAGAAAUAA
Long non-coding RNA from Mytilus californianus (California mussel), 891 nucleotides. RefSeq lists it as uncharacterized. The record is from RefSeq and is a predicted model, not a curated record. Lineage: Eukaryota; Metazoa; Mollusca; Bivalvia; Mytilida; Mytilidae. The transcript is spliced from 6 exons.